CGUCUAUAUACGUAUAGCAUAUCAAUAAGCGGAGGAAAAGAAACUAACUAGGAUUCCCUUAGUAACGGCGAGUGAAGCGGGAAGAGCUCAAAUUUGAAAUCUUCAAGGUUCUACCUUGACGAAUUGUAGUUUAUAGAAGUGUUUUCUGUUAGUAGAGGUGGCUAAAAGUUCUUUGGAAUAGGACAUCAUAGAGGGUGAGAAUCCCGUAUUUGAUCAUUCUUCUAGCUGUGUGAUACACUUUCAACGAGUCGGAUUGUUUGGGAAUGCAGUCCAAAAUGGGUGGUAAAUUUCAUCUAAAGCUAAAUAUUGGCGAGAGACCGAUAGCGAACAAGUACCGUGAGGGAAAGAUGAAAAGAACUUUGAAAAGAGAGUUAAACAGUACGUGAAAUUGUCAAAAGGGAAGCGUUUGACACCAGUGUUGUUUUUCUCGAAAAUCAAUUACGAAUGUUUUAUUUUUGAGGAGUUAUGACUUCAUCGGCUUGCUUCCUUCCUUUACUGAAACUUUCUUAAUGCACUUUUCGGUUAACAAGUCAACAUCAAUUUCUUUUGUUGUAAAAGGGUAUGAGGAAGGUGGCUUUCUUUUCGGAGAAAGUGUUUAUAGCCUUGUAGCCUCUGCAAUCGGAGAGAUUGAGGUCUGCAGCGUAGAUCCUUCGGGGUUAGAUACAGUUUGUGCUAAGUUAUAGCUUUUCAUAGACAACUUGUUGACUAUGUUUAGUCUUGUAGCUUACUCGCAUGACGCUAUUUUACCUACGCUUAGGAUGUUGACACACGCGCGUGCUCG
This 781-nucleotide ribosomal RNA is filed under the name uncultured Neocallimastigales. RNAcentral describes it as "partial large subunit ribosomal RNA". It matches the Rfam family "Eukaryotic large subunit ribosomal RNA", at positions 26 to 643 of the family's 3401-position model. Lineage: Eukaryota; Fungi; Neocallimastigomycota; Neocallimastigomycetes; Neocallimastigales. The record is from RNAcentral.